Brassica napus (rape) is the source of this 2988-nucleotide long non-coding RNA. RefSeq lists it as uncharacterized. The transcript is spliced from 4 exons. The record is from RefSeq and is a predicted model, not a curated record. Lineage: Eukaryota; Viridiplantae; Streptophyta; Magnoliopsida; Brassicales; Brassicaceae.
UAUAUAUAUAUAAACCGGUGGAAAUAUAUUUCUUAAGUUUGUUUACUAUAAAAUGAAACUUUAAAAGUUAACUAAUAAAGUUAACUAAUAAUUUUUCAAACAAAAAAAGUUAACUAUAUUAAUAUUAAUUAGUGCUGGAACGGGUUAUUAAUGAGAUUUAAUUUUUAUAAGUGGACUUUUAAUUGAAAUAAAUAUUCAUAUAAACUCAUUUAGUUUAACGGGAUUUCAAUAGGUUAUUCAGUUGAAAAAUAUUUAUUAAAUGUGAUUUAACUUAAAGUUAGUGAAGACCAUAUUAACUCAUUUACAUUUGUAUAUAUAACAGAAAAUAUUAAAAAUUAUUUUUUUCAAACAUUUUUCAAAACAUUUUUCGGUUCUCGAUGCGGGUUGGUUUUUAUAUUGGUAUUCGUAUAUAACACUAUAAGAACCGUUCGAGUAUAUAGGCCAAGUCUAAAAGAGUAUGAGAUUUUCGAUUUUUGGGUCGAUUUAGAGUCGAUUUCUUAUGUAAAAUAUUCUUAACUUGUUAUGUUAGGUAACUAAUAAGAAAAUAUAAUAUGUUGCAAACUUUAGUAAUAAAGUUUAAAAAUAAUGUCUAAAAUGCAUAUCGCAGAAGUGUAUAGUUAUGCAUUUUGAUAUAUUUAAUAUAUUUUACCAAAAAUAUAUUAAAAUAAAUUAGUAUUAAUUAUAAUAUGAUUACAAAAAAAAAAAAAAAUUCUCAAAAAGAAAUUAGAACAAAAAUAUUAACUCAUUUACAUAUUAAUUUAUUAACAAAAAAAUAUAACAUAAAAUAUUAAAAAUUAUUUUUUCAAACAUCUUUCAAAAAAUAUGUUCGGUUCUCGAUGCGGGUUGGUUUUGAUAUUGGUAUUCGUAUAUAACACUAUAAGAACCGUUCGAGUAUAUAGGCCAAGUCUAACAGAGUAUGAGAUUUUUUUAUUUUCGGGUCGAUUCAGAGUCGAUUUUUAGAUAUAAAUACUCUUGACUAAUUAUGUUAGGUAACUAAUAAAAAAUAUAAUAUGUUGCAAACUUUAGUAAUAAAGUUUAAAAAUAAUUUUUAAAAUGCAUAUGGCUCAAGUGUAUAGUUAUGCAUUUUGACAUAUUUAAUAUAUUUUACCAAAAAAUAUAUUAAAAUAAAUUAAUAUUAAAUAUAAUAUGAUUAAAAAAUAAAAUAGAAAAAUUAAAUUUCUCAAAAAAAAAUUAAAACAGAAAAUAUACCCGCCCUUUAAAGGGUGGAUCAGAAUCUAGUUAACACUACUAUAUAAAAGAGACUAUUUUAAGAGCUUCUAAAGGGUGUCACAUAAGCAAAAAUAUUCUCCACCAAUCAUUUUGCCAUGUCAUCACGAAAUGGACCUCAAACACAAGAUAUCCAGCCCAUAAGUAAAGGUUUGUUGGCUUUAGUGGCCCAAACGUAAUUCUAAGACGUUUCCACCGUAACAAAAAGAAAUGAAUCUGGUACUGCUUAAAAUAUUCAACCAAUCAUAUCAAACUACAUUAUUAAAAACCUAUAUCCCUUGACUGAAAUUUUUGGAUUUCUCGAUCUCUUCAUGACAACCGAAAAAAAAAAACAGCCGACGUUUAAUAUUACUCAUCAGCGAUGAUUUUAAUGAUGAUCCUCUUUUAAAAAACUCACAAAACCAUUUCUUUCACAAUCUAAUCAACAAACUAAAACCUCUCCCAAAAACAGCUGAAAUCCAAUCAUAGCUUCAAAAGAUCUACAUGUGCUACUUAUUUCUUUUGGGGAUAUUUUAGUCUUCCAGAUUCUGUUUCAGCAAGUUUAAUAUUAUAUGAUGUUGAUUCUGUCUUUCUCGCUUUGGAAUUUAAGUUUCAGUACAUGUUUCCUUAUAAAGAUGUACAUGAUUUUUUUGUUCUGUACUUUGAUGUGUCCAGGGUUACAUUUGGACCAUACGAAGAAAAAAGUAACUAGUAGGUGACCUCUCUGCUGUUUUAUUCUUUUAUCAUCACGAGUUUUGUUUUCAGCUGGCUUUGAUUUUUUUUAUCUCAGAUUACGAGUUUUGUCUGUAUUGAAUCGGGGGUUUUAAAUUGUAUUAUGGUUUGAGAGGGAUGCUUAGAUUGCUGAACCCCAUGUAGUUAAAUAGUGAGAUCAAAACUUAAUUCAUGUUCAGUCCCAAGCAGAGUUACAAAACUGCAUGGUAAGAAAAUACUUACUGAUGAGUUGAAUCAAGUGGGUGAUAGCUGAAGAUUCAUAACAAAAAAAAAAGCAACCGUCUGUGGAUAAGGCACUCAUACCAUAGAAGCUAUAGAAAAACUCUCAGCAAUGAACAAGCCCUCAAUUGGAGAUAAUUCACAAUUGCGACGGUGUCAUGUGAUGGACCUCUAAUAAGUAAAUUCACAUGCCCCUUUGUCAGUCUCCAAAAGACACAUAGGCAUCGGAAGAAAUGGGCUCUAAAUGUUUACUUCAACAACCUUACCGAAGUCAACCUUGAUUUGGAGCUGACAAGAAGGUGGAGAAUAACUUCCAGUAGCUGUGGCCGUGAAGUCGCAUUACUUGGUUGUUACAAUGCGAGUUGCAAGAAUACAUAUGCAAAACUGAUGCCAGGAUGUAGAUGGGACAAUAUGCAUCCUAUAAGUUUCCCUGUGAAGAGACUAAUCCAAAAGAAGAAAAAUGCAAGCGUAUUCCCACUAAAUGGUAAUGUCAUUUUCAUUUGUUGGUAGGAGUUAUGAGGAGAUUUUUAUUUUUUAAAAUACAGUACUUACAGUAACUUUAUCUAUCUAUGUAUCUUCUCUGGGCCACUAACUGGCAAGCGUAUUCCCACUAAAUGGCAAGCGUAUUCCCACUUAACACUCUCCGCCUAAUGAAGUAUUCUAACAUCAUUGAGCUCAAGAGCAAGCAUUUUUCACGGAUUACCCAUGAAAUUGGUUCUAUGUUGUUCAGGACUUACCGAUGAAUGAGUAUGUAUACUUCUUUUUACCCUUUUGUUUCAUAAAAACCUUGACUCUGAAAAACAAAUUACAUGAAUGGAUGGCUUUGGAUUA